GGCAGGGAACAAAAUUGGAGAUUUACUGGAACUAUUUGAGAGUUUUUUUAGAUCAUUUCGUCGGACUCGAACGUUGGAAACUUCAGCGUCAUGACUAAAAUCAUUUCGCGGUAUUGAAAUUUGGUGAAACUGUAAAUUGCAGGUUUGAAAGAAGCGUUUUAAAUAUAAGACGAAAUUUUGAUCUUCAAUUUUGUCUGGAAAAUUGUGUUUGUACACGCAACGAAAUGGCAACAAAAAAUCGCUGCUUUCUCUCCUCAAUUCUUCAGGGCCACAGAAUUCGAUGCACUUUGGCUGCAGUUAAAAAUCUCGACGAGAAUUCGAGGCUGUGCCAUUUGGAAUUGACGUAACUACAAACUCACGUGUCGGACCUUGACCACAAAUGGUUGCUGGCUGCAUAGCACACAUUUGAUCAGCAGCGAACGAGAGACAACGGAACGAACAAAAUAAUCACGAUUAAGACCCUCCGCAAUACGUCCUCCAACAAAUUCGCUGCUCGUUUGACUUUCGAUCGAACUUUUCGUUGGAAAACGAUGUGAAAAUGCACCUGAAUCGUGGCUGAGAGAUUCCUUGCCAAAGCUGCCACGAUUUUCUCCAAAAAAUUGAAUAAAUCACGCCUUCCCUUCGAAUUUA
This is a long non-coding RNA of Venturia canescens, 630 nucleotides long. RefSeq lists it as uncharacterized. Lineage: Eukaryota; Metazoa; Arthropoda; Insecta; Hymenoptera; Ichneumonidae. The transcript is spliced from 2 exons. The record is from RefSeq and is a predicted model, not a curated record.